This 23-nucleotide non-coding RNA is filed under the name Arabidopsis thaliana (thale cress). The record is from RNAcentral. Lineage: Eukaryota; Viridiplantae; Streptophyta; Magnoliopsida; Brassicales; Brassicaceae.
GCCAUGUCACAAGCGUAACAGGA